Molecule: ribosomal RNA, 1347 nt
Filed under: uncultured bacterium
Lineage: Bacteria
Description: partial 16S ribosomal RNA
Rfam family: Bacterial small subunit ribosomal RNA
Source: RNAcentral
GACGAACGCCUGCGGGCGUGCUUAACACAUGCAAGUCGAACGGAAAGGCCCUGCUUUUGUGGGGUGCUCGAGUGGCGAACGGGUGAGUAACACGUGAGUAACCUGCCCUUGACUUUGGGAUAACUUCAGGAAACUGGGGCUAAUACCGGAUAGGAGCUCCUGCUGCAUGGUGGGGGUUGGAAAGUUUCGGCGGUUGGGGAUGGACUCGCGGCUUAUCAGCUUGUUGGUGGGGUAGUGGCUUACCAAGGCUUUGACGGGUAGCCGGCCUGAGAGGGUGACCGGCCACAUUGGGACUGAGAUACGGCCCAGACUCCUACGGGAGGCAGCAGUGGGGAAUAUUGCACAAUGGGCGGAAGCCUGAUGCAGCAACGCCGCGUGCGGGAUGACGGCCUUCGGGUUGUAAACCGCUUUCGCCUGUGACGAAGCGUGAGUGACGGUAAUGGGUAAAGAAGCACCGGCUAACUACGUGCCAGCAGCCGCGGUGAUACGUAGGGUGCGAGCGUUGUCCGGAUUUAUUGGGCGUAAAGGGCUCGUAGGUGGUUGAUCGCGUCGGAAGUGUAAUCUUGGGGCUUAACCCUGAGCGUGCUUUCGAUACGGGUUGACUUGAGGAAGGUAGGGGAGAAUGGAAUUCCUGGUGGAGCGGUGGAAUGCGCAGAUAUCAGGAGGAACACCAGUGGCGAAGGCGGUUCUCUGGGCCUUUCCUGACGCUGAGGAGCGAAAGCGUGGGGAGCGAACAGGCUUAGAUACCCUGGUAGUCCACGCUGUAAACGGUGGGUACUAGGUGUGGGGUCCAUUCCACGGGUUCCGUGCCGUAGCUAACGCUUUAAGUACCCCGCCUGGGGAGUACGGCCGCAAGGCUAAAACUCAAAGGAAUUGACGGGGCCCCGCACAAGCGGCGGAGCAUGCGGAUUAAUUCGAUGCAACGCGUAGAACCUUACCUGGGUUUGACAUGGAUCGGGAGUGCUCAGAGAUGGGUGUGCCUCUUUUGGGGUCGGUUCACAGGUGGUGCAUGGCUGUCGUCAGCUCGUGUCGUGAGAUGUUGGGUUAAGUCCCGCAACGAGCGCAACCCUUGUUCACUGUUGCCAGCACGUUAUGGUGGGGACUCAGUGGAGACCGCCGGGGUCAACUCGGAGGAAGGUGGGGAUGACGUCAAGUCAUCAUGCCCCUUAUGUCCAGGGCUUCACGCAUGCUACAAUGGCUGGUACAGAGAGUGGCGAGCCUGUGAGGGUGAGCGAAUCUCGGAAAGUCGGUCUCAGUUCGGAUUGGGGUCUGCAACUCGACCUCAUGAAGUCGGAGUCGCUAGUAAUCGCAGAUCAGCAACGCUGCGGUGAAUACGUUCCCGGGGCU